RNAcentral lists this unclassified non-coding RNA (520 nucleotides) under uncultured Glomus. Its description in RNAcentral is "SSU rRNA". It matches the Rfam family "Eukaryotic small subunit ribosomal RNA", at positions 569 to 1089 of the family's 1831-position model. Lineage: Eukaryota; Fungi; Glomeromycota; Glomeromycetes; Glomerales; Glomeraceae. The record is from RNAcentral.
AGCAGCCGCGGUAAUUCCAGCUCCAAUAGCGUAUAUUAAAGUUGUUGCAGUUAAAAAGCUCGUAGUUGAAUUUCGAGACCGGUUUACUGGUCGUGCUUUUGUACGUACUGGUAUUAUUGGUUUCUCCUUUCUGACGAACUAUAAUGCCAUUAAUUUGGUGUUAUAGGGAAUCAGGACUGUUACUUUGAAAAAAUUUAGAGUGUUUAAAGCAGGCUCACGCUUGAAUACAUUAGCAUGGAAUAACGGAAUAGGACGUUUGAUUCUAUUUUGUUGGUUUCUAGGAUCGACGUAAUGAUUAAUAGGGAUAGUUGGGGGCAUUAGUAUUCAAUUGUCAGAGGUGAAAUUCUUGGAUUUAUUGAAGACUAACUACUGCGAAAGCAUUUGCCAAGGAUGUUUUCAUUAAUCAAGAACGAAAGUUAGGGGAUCGAAGACGAUCAGAUACCGUCGUAGUCUUAACCAUAAACUAUGCCGACUAGGGAUCGGAUGAUGUUAAUUUUUUUAAUGACUCAUUCGGCGCCUU